This 253-nucleotide ribosomal RNA is filed under the name uncultured bacterium. RNAcentral describes it as "partial 16S ribosomal RNA". It matches the Rfam family "Bacterial small subunit ribosomal RNA", at positions 524 to 776 of the family's 1533-position model. The record is from RNAcentral.
UACGAAGGGGGCUAGCGUUGUUCGGAAUUACUGGGCGUAAAGCGCACGUAGGCGGCUUUGUAAGUUAGAGGUGAAAGCCCGGGGCUCAACUCCGGAACUGCCUUUAAGACUGCAUCGCUUGAAUCCAGGAGAGGUGAGUGGAAUCCCGAGUGUAGAGGUGAAAUUCGUAGAUAUUCGGAAGAACACCAGUGGCGAAGGCGGCUCACUGGACUGGUAUUGACGCUGAGGUGCGAAAGCGUGGGGAGCAAACAGG